UAGGGUGGUUUUAGCAGAGGGGCUCACCUGUUCCCAUUCCGAACACAGAAGUUAAGCCCUCUAGCGCCGAUGGUACUGCGAAAGCGGGAGAGUAGGUCGCCGCCAGUA
This 108-nucleotide ribosomal RNA is filed under the name Epilithonimonas hominis. The record is from RNAcentral. Lineage: Bacteria; Pseudomonadati; Bacteroidota; Flavobacteriia; Flavobacteriales; Weeksellaceae.